RNAcentral lists this transfer RNA (55 nucleotides) under Leptotrombidium deliense. RNAcentral's name for it is "tRNA-Lys". Lineage: Eukaryota; Metazoa; Arthropoda; Arachnida; Trombidiformes; Trombiculidae. The record is from RNAcentral.
GUCCUGAAAGCUUUAGCGCUGAACUUUUAAUUCAGAGAAGGGAAACCUCAGGUCA